RNAcentral lists this ribosomal RNA (253 nucleotides) under uncultured bacterium. Its description in RNAcentral is "partial 16S ribosomal RNA". It matches the Rfam family "Bacterial small subunit ribosomal RNA", at positions 524 to 776 of the family's 1533-position model. The record is from RNAcentral.
UACGGGGGGGGCAAGCGUUGUUCGGAAUUACUGGGCGUAAAGGGCGCGUAGGCGGACGGGAAAGUCUUUCGUGAAAUCCCACGGCUCAACCGUGGAAUUGCGGGAGAUACUGCUCGUCUUGAGUUCGGGAGAGGAGUGUGGAAUUCCCAGUGUAGCGGUGAAAUGCGUAGAUAUUGGGAGGAACACCGGUGGCGAAGGCGGCACUCUGGACCGAUACUGACGCUGAGGCGCGAAAGCUAGGGGAGCAAACGGG